Long non-coding RNA from Struthio camelus australis, 1716 nucleotides. The record is from Ensembl. NCBI's taxonomy places the organism in Eukaryota, Metazoa, Chordata, Aves, Struthioniformes, Struthionidae.
AGCGGGAUGCUUCCCGGGAGGAGGGGACGGAGGCUGCAGAGUGAGGAGGAGGAGGAGGAGGAAGGCUUUGGGCUGCCUCUGCCGCCUACAGCAGCUUGUCUUCCUCCUCAAAGUGUUCUUCCUCCGUGUAGUUGCUUUUCAGGGCCUUUUUAAGCUUGGUCCAGAAGAGCUUCUGGGCCUCGGGCUGCGGAGACCAGCUGAGGUAGGUCUUCUUGAGCAUCACCUUCCGCAUGCGGUGGUAGGCGGAGAGCUCCGCGUUGGGGAUGGCCUCCAGGAAGACGAGGAUCAGCACGUCCUUGAGCUCGUCGAAGAGGCGGUAGCUGGCCAGCUGGAUCUCCAGGGAGCACCACUCGCUCUGCAGGUAGCUGCGGCUGAUGACGCAGAUGGUCUUGCGGCUGUUGUAGAUGCUGUCCACGAUGUUGUCGAUGAUGCUCUUCCCGGGCCUGAAGUCGCGGUGGUGGAGGCAGAGGCGGAAGGAGACCCGGGCCCCGAGCUUGGCCACCAGCUCCUGCAGCACCCAGCCCUCGUCGGCCGAGUUGUAGGAGAUGAAGCUGUCGUACUGGUACUGCUCCUCCUCCUGCCGCCGCCAGCGCUCGUUCACCCAGCUGCGGAGGAUGUAGAAGUGGUACUUGAGGCGCCAGUAGGCCCGGUGGUAGAGCAGCGGCAGCACCAUGAGGAGCAGCAGCGCCGGCGCCGUGCCCGAGAACAGGUAGAGCCCCACGUCCAGGAAGCAGACGUGCGUGUCGAACUGUGAGGCCGGCGGCUGCCGCGAGUCGCAGGUGUAGUUGUAGAGGUACACCACCUGCACCCGGCUGUUGUUCAGCCACGUCUGGAACCAGGUGUUCUCGCAGGUGCAGCUCAGCGGACACUUGCGCAAGUCCAAGUAGCGCAGGGCGCCCAGCCGCUGGGCCACGCUCUGGUUGACCGUCUGCAGCUCGUUCUUGGCCAGCUUCAGCGUCUUCAGGCGGCUGAGGUUGCCGAAGACCUCCAGGGUCAGGGAGUGGAGCCCCACGUUCUCCAGGUCCAAGGUCUCCAGGCGGGUGAGGUUUUUGAAGAUGCCUGGCGGCAAGUCCUGCAUCCCGUUGCUGCUGUCCGCCAGCGUCAGGUACCGCAGCUGGGCCAGGUCGUCGAAGACGUCGGAGGGGAUGGAGAGCAGCUUGUUCUGCGACAGGAAGAGGGUGCGCAGAGCCGUGAGGCCCUGGAAGAACUUGUGGGGGAUGAUUUUGAGGCCGUAGGGCUGCUGGGCCUGCAGCUUGAGGUCGUAGAGCUGGUGCAGGUACAUGAAGGGGGGCUGCUGGCUUUGCUGCUUCGUGAUGUACUGCAGGUUGUUGCCCUUCAGAUCCAGCACCUCCAAGGUGGCCUGCACCGGGUGGAAAAUGUCGCUGCUGAUCUCCUGGAUGUGGUUGCCGUCCAGGUAGAGCUUACGGAGGCGGCACAGCCCCUGGAAGGACUUGCCCGUCAAGUGCCGGAUGUUGUUGCCCCCCAGGUCCAGCGUCUGGAGCUGGCUCAGGUUGCUGAAGACGUGGGAGAAGAGGACGGAGACGUGGUUGUUGCGGAGGUUGAGCGUCUGGAGCUGGCCCAGGUCGGCGAAGCUGCUCUGGUAGAGGACGCGGAGGCUGGGGGCGUAGCCGAAAGCGUGGCGGCUGACGAUGAGGAUGCGGUUGAAGCGGUUCUGCAGGCCCUGCCGCUGCCUCCAGCUCAGCAGCUCCGCCACGC